Molecule: ribosomal RNA, 253 nt
Filed under: uncultured bacterium
Lineage: Bacteria
Description: partial 16S ribosomal RNA
Rfam family: Bacterial small subunit ribosomal RNA
Source: RNAcentral
UACGGAGGGUGCAAGCGUUGUUCGGAUUCACUGGGUGUAAAGGGUGUGUAGGCGGAGCAGCAAGUCAGUGGUGAAAGCCUGCGGCUUAACCGUAGAAUUGCCAUAGAUACUGCUGUUCUUGAGUACUGGAGAGGCUGCUAGAAUUCGUGGUGUAGCGGUGAAAUGCGUAGAUAUCACGAGGAAUACCAGAGGCGUCGGCGGGUAGCUGGACAGAUACUGACGCUGAGGCACGAAAGCGUGGGGAGCUAACAGG